Molecule: transfer RNA, 87 nt
Filed under: Minisyncoccota bacterium
Lineage: Bacteria; Bacillati; Minisyncoccota
Description: tRNA-Ser
Rfam family: tRNA
About the family: Transfer RNA (tRNA) molecules are approximately 80 nucleotides in length. Their secondary structure includes four short double-helical elements and three loops (D, anti-codon, and T loops).
Source: RNAcentral
GGAGGCGUGGCUGAGUGGUUGAAGGCACCUGUCUUGAAAACAGGAGACUCUUUACGGGGUCCGUGAGUUCGAAUCUCACCGCCUCCG